GUGAAUCAUCGAAUCUUUGAACGCAAAUUGCACUCUCUGGGAUUACGGUGAGUAUGCCUGUGUGAGGGUAAGUUUAAAUAAAAAUCGGUGUGGUUGCUGCCUUUCGUGGUGACGUACCGGAGUUGGGUCGUCUUGCCUUCGGUUAAGUGACCUAAAAUUUUGCAUGAUUUUUUCGAACGGAUUUAAAUGACUUUACGUACGUUGGCGAUGUCGAAUACUAGUUGUAGUCGUCCUCAUGAUU
Molecule: unclassified non-coding RNA, 241 nt
Filed under: Glomus sp.
Lineage: Eukaryota; Fungi; Glomeromycota; Glomeromycetes; Glomerales; Glomeraceae
Description: partial internal transcribed spacer 2
Rfam family: 5.8S ribosomal RNA (bases 1-71)
Source: RNAcentral